CAGCAGGGCGCUGGAAUGGGUGAAGCCCUUGCCGCACUGGGCGCAAGUGUAGGGGCGCUCGCUGGUGUGGGUCCGCUGGUGGGACAGCAGGGUGCUGGAAUGGGUGAAGCCUUUUCCGCACUGGGCGCAGAUGAAGGGGCGCUCGCCGGUGUGGGUGCACUGGUGCACCAGCAGGUUGCUCGAUUGGGUGAAGCCUUUGCUGCACUGGGCGCAGGUGUAGGGGCGCUCGCCGGUGUGGGUGCG
Molecule: long non-coding RNA, 243 nt
Organism: Amblyraja radiata (thorny skate)
Lineage: Eukaryota; Metazoa; Chordata; Chondrichthyes; Rajiformes; Rajidae
Exons: 3
Source: RefSeq, a predicted model, not a curated record